AUUGAACGCUGGCGGCAGGCCUAACACAUGCAAGUCGAGCGGAUGAAGGGAGCUUGCUCCUGGAUUCAGCGGCGGACGGGUGAGUAAUGCCUAGGAAUCUGCCUGGUAGUGGGGGGUAACGUCCGGAAACGGGCGCUAAUACCGCAUACGUCCUGAGGGAGAAAGUGGGGGAUCUUCGGACCUCACGCUAUCAGAUGAGCCUAGGUCGGAUUAGCUAGUUGGUGGGGUAAAGGCCUACCAAGGCGACGAUCCGUAACUGGUCUGAGAGGAUGAUCAGUCACACUGGAACUGAGACACGGUCCAGACUCCUACGGGAGGCAGCAGUGGGGAAUAUUGGACAAUGGGCGAAAGUCUGAUCCAGCCAUGCCGCGUGUGUGAAGAAGGUCUUCGGAUUGUAAAGCACUUUAAGUUGGGAGGAAGGGCAGUAAGUUAAUACCUUGCUGUUUUGACGUUACCAACAGAAUAAGCACCGGCUAACUUCGUG
RNAcentral lists this ribosomal RNA (484 nucleotides) under uncultured bacterium. RNAcentral describes it as "partial 16S ribosomal RNA". It matches the Rfam family "Bacterial small subunit ribosomal RNA", at positions 30 to 507 of the family's 1533-position model. The record is from RNAcentral.